RNAcentral lists this ribosomal RNA (253 nucleotides) under uncultured bacterium. RNAcentral's name for it is "partial 16S ribosomal RNA". It matches the Rfam family "Bacterial small subunit ribosomal RNA", at positions 524 to 776 of the family's 1533-position model. The record is from RNAcentral.
UACGGAGGAUCCAAGCGUUAUCCGGAUUUAUUGGGUUUAAAGGGUGCGUAGGUGGCUUUUUAAGUCAGGGGUGAAAGACGGUAGCUUAACUAUCGCAGUGCCUUUGAUACUGAGGAGCUUGAAUGAACUAGAGGUAGGCGGAAUGUGACAAGUAGCGGUGAAAUGCAUAGAUAUGUCACAGAACACCAAUUGCGAAGGCAGCUUACUAUGGUUUUAUUGACACUGAGGCACGAAAGCGUGGGGAUCAAACAGG